GAUGAGCCUGCGUACCAUUAGCUAGUUGGUGGGGUAAAGGCUUACCAAGGCAACGAUGGUUAGCUGGUCUGAGAGGAUGAUCAGCCACACUGGAACUGGAACACGGUCCAGACUCCUACGGGAGGCAGCAGUGAGGAAUUUUGCGCAAUGGGGGAAACCCUGACGCAGCAACGCCGCGUGAGUGAUGAAGGCUUUCGGGUCGUAAAGCUCUGUCGAGUGGGAAGAAAUGGUGCAGGUUAAUAUCCUGUAUUUUGACGGUACCACUAAAGGAAGCACCGGCUAACUCCGUGCCAGCAGCCGCGGUAAUACGGGGGGUGCAAGCGUUAUUCGGAAUUAUUGGGCGUAAAGGGUGCGUAGGCGGUUUUGUAAGUCAGAUGUGAAAUACCGGGGCUUAACUUCGGAACUGCAUUUGAUACUGCAAGACUUGAGUAUGGGAGAGGGAAGCGGAAUUCCUGGUGUAGAGGUGAAAUUCGUAGAUAUCAGGAGGAACACCGGUGGCGAAGGCGGCUUCCUGGACCAAUACUGACGCCGAGGCACGAAGGCGUGGGGAGCAAACAGGAUUAGAUACCCUGGUAGUCCACGCAGUAAA
RNAcentral lists this ribosomal RNA (589 nucleotides) under uncultured bacterium. RNAcentral describes it as "bacterial SSU rRNA". It matches the Rfam family "Bacterial small subunit ribosomal RNA", at positions 224 to 806 of the family's 1533-position model. The record is from RNAcentral.